AAUCAUUAGCCUCUUAAUUAGAGGCUAGAAUGAAUGGUUUAACAUUUCCUUAACUUUUUUAAAAAUUAUGAACAAAUUUAUAUUAAAUAUAAAAAUAUAUUUAUAAACUAACUAGACGACAAGACCCUUUCAAACUUUACUGAAGUUAAGCUGGGGCAGCUUAUUAAUUAAUAUCUUAUUACUUUUAAUAAAAAUAGACCCAAUUAAAAUUGAUUAAUUGAACAAGUUACUGAAGGGAUAACAGCAUAAUAAAUUUAUAUAGCUCUUAUUAAAAAAUUAGUUUAUGACCUCGAUGUUGAAUUAUUUUACUCCCACACGCAAGAGUGUGAAAAGUAGGUCUGUUCGACCUUUAAAUUUU
This 358-nucleotide ribosomal RNA is filed under the name Tetragnatha sp. RNAcentral's name for it is "partial large subunit ribosomal RNA". The record is from RNAcentral. Lineage: Eukaryota; Metazoa; Arthropoda; Arachnida; Araneae; Tetragnathidae.